RNAcentral lists this ribosomal RNA (541 nucleotides) under uncultured bacterium. RNAcentral describes it as "bacterial SSU rRNA". It matches the Rfam family "Bacterial small subunit ribosomal RNA", at positions 355 to 896 of the family's 1533-position model. The record is from RNAcentral.
UGAGGAAUAUUGGACAAUGGUCGGAAGACUGAUCCAGCCAUGCCGCGUGCAGGAUGACGGCCUUAUGGGUUGUAAACUGCUUUUGUAAGGGAAGAAUAAGAGCUACGCGUAGUUUGAUGACGGUACCUUACGAAUAAGCAUCGGCUAACUCCGUGCCAGCAGCCGCGGUAAUACGGAGGAUGCGAGCGUUAUCCGGAAUCAUUGGGUUUAAAGGGUCCGUAGGCGGGCUAAUAAGUCAGGGGUGAAAUCGUUCAGCUCAACUGAGCAACUGCCUUUGAAACUGUUAGUCUUGAAUAGUUGUGAAGUAGUUGGAAUGUGUAGUGUAGCGGUGAAAUGCUUAGAGAUUACACAGAACACCGAUAGCGAAGGCAUAUUACUAACAAUUGAUUGACGCUGAUGGACGAAAGCGUGGGGAGCGAACAGGAUUAGAUACCCUGGUAGUCCACGCUGUAAACGAUGGAUACUAGCUGUUUGGUUGUAAGGCUGAGUGGCUAAGCGAAAGUGAUAAGUAUCCCACCUGGGGAGUACGUUCGCAAGAGUG